Molecule: long non-coding RNA, 450 nt
Organism: Zeugodacus cucurbitae (melon fly)
Lineage: Eukaryota; Metazoa; Arthropoda; Insecta; Diptera; Tephritidae
Exons: 3
Source: RefSeq, a predicted model, not a curated record
AGGCUACGACAAACACCGAAGUGUGCAAAUCAGCCAAUAGAGAAACCUUGGUGACUUCUGAUGGUUACUCGACUACAAGUGAAAUACACAGUUGAAGCCAAGCGGUUCUUAUAGAACCCAGCAAGCAGAUUUAAAGCUUAUAAGCAACAUCAGAAAAAAAAUGCAUAUAAAAGAACUCAUAUUCUUAAAUUUAAGAAUGACGCUAGUUCUGAUGCGAUUAAGGUAAGUUCAAUAAUUUUCUAUCAAAAAUGGAUACAUAUAAUGUCUAUAUAUGUACAUGUGUAUAUAAUAGUAAGGACUUCAGUUUCUCAAAAGUAUUUUCCCAACAUCGCUAAAUUCUGAAAACCUCUUAGUAGUUUAUCUCCACAGUUUAUAUCUAAAUUUCGUCCGGAACUUCAUCUCAAAUACUACAGCUGAACUUACGUAUACUAAAUAUUUAUUAUUUCCCAA